GAUGAACGCUGGCGGCGUGCCUAAUACAUGCAAGUCGAGCGAACGGACGAGAAGCUUGCUUCUCUGAUGUUAGCGGCGGACGGGUGAGUAACACGUGGAUAACCUACCUAUAAGACUGGGAUAACUUCGGGAAACCGGAGCUAAUACCGGAUGAUAUUUUGAACCGCACGGUUCAAAAGUGAAAGACGGUCUUGCUGUCACUUAUAGAUGGAUCCGCGCUGCAUUAGCUAGUUGGUAAGGUAACGGCCUACCAAGGCAACGAUGCAUAGCCGACCUGAGAGGGUGAUCGGCCACACUGGAACUGAGACACGGUCCAGACUCCUACGGGAGGCAGCAGUAGGGAAUCUUCCGCAAUGGGCGAAAGCCUGACGGAGCAACGCCGCGUGAGUGAUGAAGGUCUUCGGAUCGUAAAACUCUGUUAUUAGGGAAGAACAUAUGUGUAAGUAACUGUGCACAUCUUGACGGUACCUAAUCAGAAAGCCACGGCUAACUACGUG
Molecule: ribosomal RNA, 497 nt
Filed under: uncultured bacterium
Lineage: Bacteria
Description: partial 16S ribosomal RNA
Rfam family: Bacterial small subunit ribosomal RNA
Source: RNAcentral